Erigeron canadensis is the source of this 636-nucleotide RNA transcript. RefSeq lists it as uncharacterized. The transcript has 5 exons. Lineage: Eukaryota; Viridiplantae; Streptophyta; Magnoliopsida; Asterales; Asteraceae. The record is from RefSeq and is a predicted model, not a curated record.
AUGAAUAAUGAUGGUUCAGUCACUUCACUUCAGUGCUGGAUGCUGACUCGGUCAGUGUCCAAUGUGUUUGGUUGGGAAAUAAACUGGCGUCUGGAGUGAAUGAAUGAUGUCUAAAUGAUUCUGAACGAUUUUCGAGUCAAGAACUACAAAUACUCGUGUACUCACUUCGCCGUUAACCGUUUCCGCAGCAAGCAGAAAACCAUCUGGGUCCCCCACUCCACAACUCUCGAUCUGGAUAAAGGGGCAUGGAUUCCCGCUGACCGGAUGGUUGUAUACGUGUAUGGACGUUUGUGAAUUUCGCGUAAUGAUGAUACAGAUCCAAAUAUUAAUAAGAACCUGGUCACUGCUAGGUAGUUGUCAAUUUAAACAUUAGCUUCAACAAGGCUAACGUCUCUACAAUGCUUCGAGCUUCAGGUGGGGUUGUAACAUCUACAGACCAUCGAUCUCUAACAGGGUCAAAACUGUAAUUUCACAUACCAAGGUACCAACCAUUGUUUAGCUUGGAAGCUUUAGUGCAAAAGUAUAGUCUAUAUCCUGCUAUAUACUUGCUUAACUACUUUGCCUUCCAUGGGAUUCUUUCUAAAAUUUCUGUAUUUGCUACUUUUUUUAACAUAAAGGUGUACGUAUUUACCGACA